UCGCCUGCAUGAAGUCGGAAUUGCUAGUAAUCGCGGAUCAGCAUGUCGCGGUGAAUACGUUCCCGGGUCUUGUACACACCGCCCGUCACACCAUGGGAGUUGGUAACGCCCGAAGCCAGUGACCCAACCGGAAACGGAGGGAGCUGUCGAAGGUGGGACCGAUAACUGGGGUGAAGUCGUAACAAGGUAUC
RNAcentral lists this ribosomal RNA (191 nucleotides) under uncultured bacterium. Its description in RNAcentral is "partial 16S ribosomal RNA". It matches the Rfam family "Bacterial small subunit ribosomal RNA", at positions 1312 to 1500 of the family's 1533-position model. The record is from RNAcentral.